This 656-nucleotide ribosomal RNA is filed under the name uncultured Porphyromonadaceae bacterium. RNAcentral's name for it is "bacterial SSU rRNA". It matches the Rfam family "Bacterial small subunit ribosomal RNA", at positions 68 to 715 of the family's 1533-position model. Lineage: Bacteria; Pseudomonadati; Bacteroidota; Bacteroidia; Bacteroidales; Porphyromonadaceae. The record is from RNAcentral.
GGCAGCACGGGAGUAGCAAUACAACUGGUGGCGACCGGCGCACGGGUGAGUAACGCGUAUGCAACCUAUCUAUCAGAGGGGAAUAACCCGGCGAAAGUCGGACUAAUACCGCAUAAAACAGGGGCACCGCAUGGUGAUAUUUGUUAAAGAAAUUCGCUGAUAGAUGGGCAUGCGUUCCAUUAGGUAGUUGGUGAGGUAACGGCUCACCAAGCCGACGAUGGAUAGGGGAACUGAGAGGUUGGUCCCCCACACUGGUACUGAGACACGGACCAGACUCCUACGGGAGGCAGCAGUGAGGAAUAUUGGUCAAUGGGCGAGAGCCUGAACCAGCCAAGUCGCGUGAAGGAAGAAGGAUCUAUGGUUCGUAAACUUCUUUUGCAGGGGAAUAAAGUGCGGGACGUGUCCUGUUUUGUAUGUACCCUGAGAAUAAGGAUCGGCUAACUCCGUGCCAGCAGCCGCGGUAAUACGGAGGAUCCGAGCGUUAUCCGGAUUUAUUGGGUUUAAAGGGUGCGUAGGUGGUUUUAUAAGUCAGCGGUGAAAGUUUGCAGCUUAACUGUAAAAAUGCCGUUGAAACUGUAAGACUUGAGUGUAAAUGAGGUAGGCGGAAUGCGUGGUGUAGCGGUGAAAUGCAUAGAUAUCACGAAGAACUCCGAUUG